Molecule: ribosomal RNA, 240 nt
Filed under: uncultured bacterium
Lineage: Bacteria
Description: partial 16S ribosomal RNA
Rfam family: Bacterial small subunit ribosomal RNA
Source: RNAcentral
AACCUUUGACAUCCCGAUCGCGGGCACCAGAGAUGGAGCCCUUCAGUUCGGCUGGAUCGGAGACAGGUGCUGCAUGGCUGUCGUCAGCUCGUGUCGUGAGAUGUUGGGUUAAGUCCCGCAACGAGCGCAACCCUCGCCCUUAGUUGCCAUCAUUUAGUUGGGCACUCUAAGGGGACUGCCGGUGAUAAGCCGGAGGAAGGUGGGGAUGACGUCAAGUCCUCAUGGCCCUUACAGGUUGGG